CCCUUUGGGGGUACUCGAGUGGCGAACGGGUGAGUAACACGUGAGUAACCUGCCCUUGACUUCGGGAUAACUUCAGGAAACUGGGGCUAAUACCGGAUAGGAAUCCUUGCUGCAUGGUGGGGGUUGGAAAGCUUCGGCGGUUUUGGAUGGACUCGCGGCUUAUCAGCUUGUUGGUGGGGUAGUGGCUUACCAAGGCUUUGACGGGUAGCCGGCCUGAGAGGGCGACCGGCCACAUUGGGACUGAGAUACGGCCCAG
RNAcentral lists this ribosomal RNA (256 nucleotides) under uncultured Actinomycetales bacterium. RNAcentral's name for it is "partial 16S ribosomal RNA". It matches the Rfam family "Bacterial small subunit ribosomal RNA", at positions 76 to 334 of the family's 1533-position model. Lineage: Bacteria; Bacillati; Actinomycetota; Actinomycetes; Actinomycetales. The record is from RNAcentral.